RNAcentral lists this ribosomal RNA (500 nucleotides) under uncultured bacterium. RNAcentral's name for it is "partial 16S ribosomal RNA". It matches the Rfam family "Bacterial small subunit ribosomal RNA", at positions 30 to 523 of the family's 1533-position model. The record is from RNAcentral.
AUUGAACGCUGGCGGCAUGCCUUACACAUGCAAGUCGAACGGAUCAGAGGGGCUUGCUCCUUUGGUUAGUGGCGAACGGGAGAGUAAAGCAUCGGAACGUACCCAGUUGUGGGGGAUAACGUAGCGAAAGUUACGCUAAUACCGCAUACGCACUGAGGUGGAAAGCGGGGGACCGAAAGGCCUCGCGCAAUUGGAGCGGCCGAUGUCGGAUUAGCUAGUUGGUGAGGUAAAGGCUCACCAAGGCGACGAUCCGUAGCUGGUCUGAGAGGACGACCAGCCACACUGGAACUGAGACACGGUCCAGACUCCUACGGGAGGCAGCAGUGGGGAAUUUUGGACAAUGGGCGAAAGCCUGAUCCAGCCAUGCCGCGUGAGUGAAGAAGGCCUUCGGGUUGUAAAGCUCUUUCAGACGGAAAGAAAUCUUUCGGGUGAAUAUCCCGGAAGGAUGACGGUACCGUAAGAAGGAGCACCGGCUAACUACGUGCCAGCCGCCGCGGUAA